Molecule: ribosomal RNA, 456 nt
Filed under: Drosophila canadiana
Lineage: Eukaryota; Metazoa; Arthropoda; Insecta; Diptera; Drosophilidae
Description: partial 12S ribosomal RNA
Source: RNAcentral
UGUCAUUCUAGAUACACUUUCCAGUACAUCUACUAUGUUACGACUUAUCUUACCUUAAUAAUAAGAGCGACGGGCGAUGUGUACAUAUUUUAGAGCUAAAAUCAAAUUAUUUAUCUUUAUAAUUUUACUACCAAAUCCACCUUCAAAAAUUUUUUCAUAAUUUUAUCCGUUUAAAUAAAUUUAUUGUAACCCAUUAUUACUUAAAUAUAAGCUACACCUUGAUCUGAUAUAAAUUUUAAUAAAAAUUAUUGAAUAUUAUUAUUCUUAUAAAAUAUUCUGAUAACGACGGUAUAUAAACUGAUUACAAACUUAAGUAAGGUCCAUCGUGGAUUAUCGAUUACAAAACAGGUUCCUCUGGAUAGACUAAAAUACCGCCAAAUUUUUUAAGUUUCAAGAACUUAUCUAUUACUACUUAGGUAUUUAUAAUUACAUUUUAAAUAAUAGGGUAUCUAAUCC